GAUUUCUGGCCUUUGGCGCUUGGCCCGCCUCGAAAGAGUGUGUGUUGCCGACGUGUCUAGGUCAUCCUUCUGGAGAACGCCUCUGCCCUUUGCUGGGUUGGGGGUGGGAUCCAGAUCGUUUACUUUGAAAAAAUUAGAGUGUUCAAAGCAGGCUUUACGCUGUGAAUACAUUAGCAUGGAAUAAUAAGAUAGGGCUUUGGUACUAUUUUGUUGGUUUCUAGGACCAAAGUAAUGAUUGAUAGGGACAGUUGGGGGUGCUAGUAUUCAAUGGCCAGAGGUGAAAUUCUCGGAUUCAUUGAAGACUAACAAAUGCGAAAGCAUU
RNAcentral lists this ribosomal RNA (322 nucleotides) under uncultured Rhogostoma. Its description in RNAcentral is "bacterial SSU rRNA". The stretch from base 105 to 322 matches the Rfam family "Eukaryotic small subunit ribosomal RNA", at positions 737 to 955 of the family's 1831-position model. Lineage: Eukaryota; Cercozoa; Thecofilosea; Cryomonadida. The record is from RNAcentral.